GGCGGCGUGAAGGGUGCAGACAUGCUAACCCGCCCUACGACAGUUUUCAAAAUAGUUCACUGUACCCCUACCACUACACAAAAACGUCGUCUAUAUCUAAAGUUACGUCUCAACCCAUUGCAAGUAUGUACAAACUUAUGAACUAUUCUCAAAAGGAUCAUAGAGAUAUCCAGGGGUCGGACAAAAAGUGCGGAGUAAGCUUUAAGCAGGCAAAUUCUCUCAAAUCAUUUUGCGGCUACUGCACUUAGCCAUUCUUUGUAAAGAUAAGAAGUUAGUGCAGUGUAGCUGGGAAGGAGUCAGACCAAGAAAAGUCUGCAGCGGAUUUGAUAGCCCACGCAGUGCACGUGUUAUUUUAAACGUCAUAUUUCUAUGAAAUUGUGACGUAUAAAUAACACUUACACUGCGUGGGCUAUCAAAUCCGCUGCAGACUUUCCUUGGUCCGACUCUAGCUGUCUAGCAGUAGCUUGUCCUUACUGAAGGAAAUGUAGAGCUACAUCCAAAAGUCCAGUCCUAUAUUAUAAGAGGCGGUACAGGUCGACGUCAAAUAUAUGUUUACACUUCUGCAUCUUAUUCCAAUGGAAUAAGGUGCAAAAGUGUAAACAUAUCUUCGACGUCGACUGAACAAUACUC
Molecule: long non-coding RNA, 630 nt
Organism: Cydia fagiglandana
Lineage: Eukaryota; Metazoa; Arthropoda; Insecta; Lepidoptera; Tortricidae
Exons: 3
Source: RefSeq, a predicted model, not a curated record